GCAUCGGUGGCUUAGUGGUAGAAUGCUCGCCUGCCACGCGGGCGGCCCAGGUUCGAUUCCCGGCCGAUGCA
Molecule: transfer RNA, 71 nt
Filed under: Cordylochernes scorpioides
Lineage: Eukaryota; Metazoa; Arthropoda; Arachnida; Pseudoscorpiones; Chernetidae
Description: tRNA-Gly
Rfam family: tRNA
About the family: Transfer RNA (tRNA) molecules are approximately 80 nucleotides in length. Their secondary structure includes four short double-helical elements and three loops (D, anti-codon, and T loops).
Source: RNAcentral